AUGUGUGUGUGUAUGUGUGUAUGUAUGUACACACAUGUGUAUGUAUACAUACGUAUGUACAUACAUGUGUAUGUAUACAUAUGUAUGUA
RNAcentral lists this microRNA precursor (89 nucleotides) under Chlorocebus sabaeus (green monkey). Its description in RNAcentral is "miRNA (ENSCSAG00000020803.1)". Lineage: Eukaryota; Metazoa; Chordata; Mammalia; Primates; Cercopithecidae. The record is from RNAcentral.